GUUCUUAAAGAAGAAAUAACACUGGUCAAGCAGGCCCAUAAUCUUUUGGUUCAUCUCUUCUGCGUUCCCUUUUACUCAGUGGCAGAGCAACAUAAGAGUUCCCGCUCCGCGUCCGCAGAGAUUGGGCGAUCUCACAAGCCAUGAAUGCUAGACGUUUCGGAGCUGCGAUUUUAUUUCCGUCUGGUACAACUUUGUUGUACACGUUGUUUUGCUCAGUAGCUGGAUUGGUGAAGUGUAGAUAGAGUGUCGUGCCACUUGUUCUUCCCAAAUUCCACAAUCCACUGAACCUUGCAUCGUUCUAUUGUUAUCGGUGGCAUGUAGAUUCCUGAAACGGAUAUGAGGAGUGGUGUCUGAAGGAGAAUGUCUUUUUAUUGAAUUGGUGUCAACUCUUGAGCUGAAUCUAAUUAUGUUUGGUCAAUUAUUAUGACUUGAAAGUUAGGUUGAGUGUGAGCAUGUGGAAUUGCAUUCGGAUUUCUCAAACAUAGAAUUACGUUAACAACUUCUGUAUUUUCCCCCUCCCCCUCUUUGGAUAGCAUGCUUCAUAUGCUCCAAGAAUACAACCGAUAGUUAGUUUUCUACAAUAAUUGUUUUCUUUAAAUAAUGGCUGUUAUUUACUAGUUAACUGUUUUGCAUUUUGUGCACGGCUUAUUCUGAGAGAGUGUCAUGAAUGUAAUCUAAUAACUCUAAUCACCUAGCUGAGAAAAUUAUGGGAAAACUCUUUUUUCUGAAUUUUCAGUGGGAAUUCACUAGAAAGUCCCAACUGGCAUUGAAUAUGGGUAAAUUUAUUACAUAUAUUUUUUAUCUCAUCGAUCCUUACUGUGCAACUUUACAAGGAGAAUUACUAUAGGUUAUCUUAGGUUAUCUUCUUAGUUUAUGUCUCUCUUCUUCGGUUUACCUUGGUCUCAGUUGUCAAUUUAUAAGCAAUAUGUCAUGCAAUAUGCUAUAAAAAUUCGCCCUGCAAUUUGUUUUCUUGGUUGGAGGUGCAACUUUUUGAUUCCCUACAUUGAGAAUUACGUGCUAGUUUUUGUUUCUGUCAAACCAUUUGAUGACUUAUAGCCUAUGUGGCUUUAAAUAGACUGCUUUAAAUUGGAAUGCAAUCAAACUCUAGCAGUUAAAUGAUUGCUUAUCAAGACUAUUUAUUUAGUGUCUAUUGGCAUGUCUAUUGGCAAGACUAAUAUUUGGAAGAAUUUAAUUUUGAUUUAUUGUCAAUAUGAUAAAACAUUUAUACACUAUCUCUCUGUUAAGGACUAAAAGUCAAACUCUUUAGGCAGGGAGAGUGUGUAAUGAUCAGAUGAUAAUAUUAAAAAGUUUAACCUAAUAGUAAACCAAAAUUAAAAUCUAUUUGGAAAAUAUCUUGGUGAUAUUAUUUAUAGUCCCAGAUAUUUGAAAUACUCAGUCCUUUUUACCCUUUAUUUUAUUUAUCAAUCUUGAUGUUUCAUGCAUUAUGGAGAUGUCUCAUGUCUGAUGACUCACCUUUGUUUAAAACAGUUCGACUGUGUAGAAAGGAAAUUUAUCCUGUUUGUGUUUGUCACGUGACCAUUUGGUGGCUUGUACAUUUUUUGUUUUAGAGACAAUCGUAACAAUAGAGUUGCCCUUUUUGAUGGUAUCGAGGAGGGUGGCAUCAGAGCAUCAUCUCUUUACUCCUCUUCUCAUGAAAUUGAUGAACUCGAUAAUGAGCAGGCUUUGGAUGGAUUGCAAGGCAGAGUCAAUCUGCUGAAAAGACUAUCAGGUGAUAUACAUGAGGAGGUGGAUAGCCAUAACCGCAUGCUGGAUCGAAUGGGGAGUGAUAUGGAUGCAUCAAGAGGAGUCCUCGCGGGCACAAUGGACAAAUUUAAAAUGGUAUUCGAGACCAAAUCCAGCCGGAGAAUGUUUACGCUUGUGGUAUCCUUUGUUGUGCUUUUUCUUAUAAUAUACUACCUGACUAGGUAAUUUGAUCUUUCAUUCAACUCUCAGCUUUGUGUUAGACCCGAGAGGAAGCUAUUUACUCGUUUACUGUAAUUAAUGCUACUACCUGUAAGACACUGUUGUGUAUAAAGGUUUGAUGUUCCAAACAGGUAUUGAACCCAAAGAGUAAUGUCAUAUUCAAUUUGCGGUAUAAGCUUGUAUUUAG
Abrus precatorius (Indian licorice) is the source of this 2110-nucleotide RNA transcript. It is a transcript of the gene named bet1-like SNARE 1-1, with no coding region annotated. Lineage: Eukaryota; Viridiplantae; Streptophyta; Magnoliopsida; Fabales; Fabaceae. The transcript is spliced from 6 exons. The record is from RefSeq and is a predicted model, not a curated record.